This 494-nucleotide ribosomal RNA is filed under the name uncultured bacterium. RNAcentral's name for it is "SSU rRNA". It matches the Rfam family "Bacterial small subunit ribosomal RNA", at positions 26 to 507 of the family's 1533-position model. The record is from RNAcentral.
AGAACGAACGCUGGCGGCGUGGAUAAGACAUGCAAGUCGAACGCGACUUAUCUGGUUAGCAAUAACUAGGUAAGUUGAGUGGCGAAAGGGUGCGUAACACGUGGGAAUUUACCAAAAAGUGGGGAAUAGCUCAGCGAAAGCUGAAUUAAUACCGCAUGUGAUCGAAAGAUCAAAGUCGGGGACCGCAAGGCCUGACGCUUUUUGAGAAGCCCGCGGCCCAUCAGCUAGUUGGCGGGGUAAUGGCCCACCAAGGCGAUGACGGGUAGCUGGUCUGAGAGGACGACCAGCCACACUGGAACUGAGACACGGUCCAGACACCUACGGGUGGCAGCAGUCGAGAAUUUUUCACAAUGGACGAAAGUCUGAUGGAGCGACGCCGCGUGGAGGAUGAAGGUUUUCGGAUUGUAAACUCCUGUCACUGCAGAACAGGAUACGUCAGUUAACAGCCGACGUAUUGAUGGUAUGCGGAGAGGAAGGGACGGCUAACGUCUGUG